Molecule: microRNA precursor, 79 nt
Filed under: Bombyx mori (domestic silkworm)
Lineage: Eukaryota; Metazoa; Arthropoda; Insecta; Lepidoptera; Bombycidae
Description: mir-2807 microRNA precursor family
Rfam family: mir-2807 microRNA precursor family
Source: Rfam by way of RNAcentral
UUAACUCAAAUUUGUAUGGAGUUGGAACGUUUGCCUACGUUUGCCGCCAGGGUCGCCAACUUCAUACAAAUACGAGUUA